GCCAGGCACGGUGGCACGUGCCUGUAGUCCCAGCUACUCCGGAGGCUGAGACUGGAGGAUCACUUGAGCCCAGGAGUUCUGGGCUGUAGUGCACUAUGCCAGUCGGGUGUCUGCACUAAGUUCGGCAUCAAUAUUGUGACAUCUUGGGAGCAGGGGACCACCAGGUUGCCUAAGGAGGGGUGAACCAGGCAGGUCGGAAACAGAGCAGGUCAAAACUCCCGUGCUGAUCAGUAGUGGGAUCGUUGUCUGUGAAUAGCCACUGGACUCCAGCCUGGGCAACAUAACGAGACCCCAUCUCU
Molecule: signal recognition particle RNA, 299 nt
Filed under: Saimiri boliviensis boliviensis (Bolivian squirrel monkey)
Lineage: Eukaryota; Metazoa; Chordata; Mammalia; Primates; Cebidae
Description: Metazoan signal recognition particle RNA (ENSSBOG00000016628.1)
Rfam family: Metazoan signal recognition particle RNA
About the family: The signal recognition particle (SRP) is a universally conserved ribonucleoprotein. It is involved in the co-translational targeting of proteins to membranes. The eukaryotic SRP consists of a 300-nucleotide 7S RNA and six proteins: SRPs 72, 68, 54, 19, 14, and 9.
Source: RNAcentral